UGAAAAGUGAAGAUUGCUCUUACUUGAAAGAGGCUGACACAUUUCCCAGACCGGGGAUCACUUUAUAUGGUGUAUGAUUUAAGGGUUUCCAGUGACCGCGCGGUUGCCUCUCCCGAGUGCCACUACACACCCCUGCCUUCUGCUUCCAGGGAACUCACCAGUCACCGAGGUGUCCUGGGCAAGUGUCACUAUGUUUACUACGGGAAAAACUCAGAGGGCAACAGGUUUAUCCGAGAUGACCA
Long non-coding RNA from Hipposideros armiger (great roundleaf bat), 242 nucleotides. RefSeq lists it as uncharacterized. Lineage: Eukaryota; Metazoa; Chordata; Mammalia; Chiroptera; Hipposideridae. The record is from RefSeq and is a predicted model, not a curated record. The transcript has 3 exons.